Molecule: ribosomal RNA, 611 nt
Filed under: uncultured bacterium
Lineage: Bacteria
Description: bacterial SSU rRNA
Rfam family: Bacterial small subunit ribosomal RNA
Source: RNAcentral
GUGGUAUACGAUGGAUCCGCGUCUGAUUAGCUAGUUGGUGGGGUAAAGGCCCACCAAGGCGACGAUCAGUAGCCGGCCUGAGAGGGUGAACGGCCACAUUGGGACUGAGACACGGCCCAAACUCCUACGGGAGGCAGCAGUGGGGAAUAUUGCACAAUGGGGGAAACCCUGAUGCAGCGACGCCGCGUGAGUGAAGAAGUAUUUCGGUACGUAAAGCUCUAUCAGCAGGGAAGAAAAUGACGGUACCUGACUAAGAAGCCCCGGCUAACUACGUGCCAGCAGCCGCGGUAAUACGUAGGGGGCAAGCGUUAUCCGGAUUUACUGGGUGUAAAGGGAGCGUAGACGGCAGCGCAAGUCUGGAGUGAAAUCCCAUGGCUUAACCAUGGAACUGCUUUGGAAACUGUGCAGCUGGAGUGCAGGAGAGGUAAGCGGAAUUCCUAGUGUAGCGGUGAAAUGCGUAGAUAUUAGGAGGAACACCAGUGGCGAAGGCGGCUUACUGGACUGUAACUGACGUUGAGGCUCGAAAGCGUGGGGAGCAAACAGGAUUAGAUACCCUGGUAGUCCACGCUGUAAACGAUGAUUACUAGGUGUUGGGGGACCAAGGUCCUUCG